Molecule: long non-coding RNA, 357 nt
Organism: Clupea harengus (Atlantic herring)
Lineage: Eukaryota; Metazoa; Chordata; Actinopteri; Clupeiformes; Clupeidae
Exons: 3
Source: RefSeq, a predicted model, not a curated record
CACUCUCUCACACCAUCACCAUCACUUCAGUGACUCUGGUGGCUCUGGUGGCAGGAUUGGCAGGUUUCAUCGUCUUCGUCUGUUGGAGGAGAAAGACUCAGAGGCCUGCCUCAACAGCAGAGGGAAAACGCAGAGACUUAACAGCAGACUGUGUCUACGAGGAGAUUAAGGACGCCACAAACCCAAACCCAGCAGGCAGCAGCACACCUGAGUCUGUUUACGCCCUCGCCCAGUUGCCCUCUGACCUCUCUGAGGGCCCCGGCUACGCCUCGGUCCGUUUCCACAAGCAUUCCAGCGAGCCACAUGACUCCAGUACAACAGUAUCUGUCAGAGGGGCCGUCAGCACUGAGUAUUCUA